Molecule: microRNA precursor, 204 nt
Filed under: Oryza glumipatula
Lineage: Eukaryota; Viridiplantae; Streptophyta; Magnoliopsida; Poales; Poaceae
Description: MIR812 microRNA precursor family
Rfam family: MIR812 microRNA precursor family
Source: Rfam by way of RNAcentral
AAAAAGACAAACCCUGGUUUCCGUGCCCAAUGUUUGACCGUCCGUCUUAUUUGAAAAAUUAAUGAAAAAAAUUAAAAGACAAGACACGCAUAAAAUAUUAAUCAUGUUUUAUCAUCUAACAACAAUGAAAAUACGAAUUAUAAAAAAAUUUCAUAUAAGACGAACAGUCAAAGUUGGACACGGAAACCCAGGGUUUGCCUUUUU